RNAcentral lists this ribosomal RNA (497 nucleotides) under uncultured bacterium. RNAcentral describes it as "partial 16S ribosomal RNA". It matches the Rfam family "Bacterial small subunit ribosomal RNA", at positions 28 to 507 of the family's 1533-position model. The record is from RNAcentral.
GAUGAACGCUGGCGGCGUGCCUAAUACAUGCAAGUCGAGCGAACGGACGAGAAGCUUGCUUCUCUGAUGUUAGCGGCGGACGGGUGAGUAACACGUGGAUAACCUACCUAUAAGACUGGGAUAACUUCGGGAAACCGGAGCUAAUACCGGAUGAUAUUUUGAACCGCAUGGUUCAAAAGUGAAAGACGGUCUUGCUGUCACUUAUAGAUGGAUCCGCGCUGCAUUAGCUAGUUGGUAAGGUAACGGCUUACCAAGGCAACGAUGCAUAGCCGACCUGAGAGGGUGAUCGGCCACACUGGAACUGAGACACGGUCCAGACUCCUACGGGAGGCAGCAGUAGGGAAUCUUCCGCAAUGGGCGAAAGCCUUACGGAGCAACGCCGCGUGAGUGAUGAAGGUCUUCGGAUCGUAAAACUCUGUUAUUAGGGAAGAACAUAUGUGUAAGUAGCUGUGCACAUCUUGACGGUACCUAAUCAGAAAGCCACGGCUAACUACGUG